RNAcentral lists this ribosomal RNA (468 nucleotides) under uncultured bacterium. Its description in RNAcentral is "partial 16S ribosomal RNA". It matches the Rfam family "Bacterial small subunit ribosomal RNA", at positions 28 to 507 of the family's 1533-position model. The record is from RNAcentral.
GACGAACGCUGGCGGCGUGCUUAACACAUGCAAGUCGAACGGAAAGGCCCUGCUUUUGUGGGGUGCUCGAGUGGCGAACGGGUGAGUAACACGUGAGUAACCUGCCCUUGACUUUGGGAUAACUUCAGGAAACUGGGGCUAAUACCGGAUAGGAGCUCCUGCUGCAUGGUGGGGGUUGGAAAGUUUCGGCGGUUGGGGAUGGACUCGCGGCUUAUCAGCUUGUUGGUGGGGUAGUGGCUUACCAAGGCUUUGACGGGUAGCCGGCCUGAGAGGGUGACCGGCAACAUUGGGACUGAGAUACGGCCCAGACUCCUACGGGAGGCAGCAGUGGGGAAUAUUGCACAAUGGGCGGAAGCCUGAUGCAGCAACGCCGCGUGCGGGAUGACGGCCUUCGGGUUGUAAACCGCUUUCGCAUGUGACGAAGCGUGAGUGACGGUAAUGGGUAAAGAAGCACCGGCUAACUACGUG